UAUUUUGAAGGGCCGCAGUAUUCUGACUGUGCAAAGGUAGCAUAAUCAUUUGCCUUUUAAUUAAAGGCUGGAAUGAAUGGUUGAACGAAGUAUAAGCUGUCUCAUUUUUAUAAUUUUAAAAAUUUAGUUUUUUAGUCAAAAGGCUAAAAUAUUUUUAGAGGACGAGAAGACCCUAUAGAACUUUAUAUUUAGAAUCUUAAUAUUUAUUAGUAAAUAAUUUUUUAUUAUGAUUUUAUUUAUUUCGUUGGGGUGACGGGAAAAUUUAACUAACUUUUUUGAAUUGAAAACAUUGAUUUAUGAAUUUUUGAUCCUUUUUUAUUGAUUAUUAAAAUAAGUUACCUUAGGGAUAACAGCGUUAUUUUAUUGGAGAGUUCAUAUCGAUAAUAAAGUUUGCGACCUCGAUGUUGAAUUAAAGAAAUUCUUGAGUGCAGAAGCUUGGGGUAAUAGGUCUGUUCGACCUUUAAAUCUUUACAUGAUCUGAGUUCAAACCGA
This 492-nucleotide ribosomal RNA is filed under the name Distoleon tetragrammicus. RNAcentral describes it as "partial 16S ribosomal RNA". It matches the Rfam family "Bacterial large subunit ribosomal RNA", at positions 1919 to 2619 of the family's 2925-position model. Lineage: Eukaryota; Metazoa; Arthropoda; Insecta; Neuroptera; Myrmeleontidae. The record is from RNAcentral.